UGCCGACACUGAAACUCCUCAUCUUUU
Molecule: non-coding RNA, 27 nt
Filed under: Rattus norvegicus (Norway rat)
Lineage: Eukaryota; Metazoa; Chordata; Mammalia; Rodentia; Muridae
Source: RNAcentral